Molecule: ribosomal RNA, 254 nt
Filed under: uncultured bacterium
Lineage: Bacteria
Description: partial 16S ribosomal RNA
Rfam family: Bacterial small subunit ribosomal RNA
Source: RNAcentral
CGUAGGGUGCGAGCGUUGUCCGGAUUUAUUGGGCGUAAAGAGCUCGUAGGUGGUUUGUUGCGUCGGGAGUGAAAACACACGGCUUAACUGUGUGCUUGCUUUCGAUACGGGCAGACUUGAGGAAGGUAGGGGAGAACGGAAUUCCUGGUGGAGCGGUGGAAUGCGCAGAUAUCAGGAGGAACACCGGUGGCGAAGGCGGUUCUCUGGACCUUUCCUGACGCUGAGGAGCGAAAGCGUGGGGAGCGAACAGGCUU